Peromyscus maniculatus bairdii (prairie deer mouse) is the source of this 3743-nucleotide non-coding RNA. NCBI's taxonomy places the organism in Eukaryota, Metazoa, Chordata, Mammalia, Rodentia, Cricetidae. The record is from RefSeq and is a predicted model, not a curated record.
UCCAGGGGCUGCGGCGAGCUUGCAGAGCCUAGUGCAGCGUGGGGGGCAGGAGGGGGCGCUCCGAGCUGGCCCAGCCCAGCUGCCCAGAGUUCGCCAGCCCCGGGCGGGAGGCUACGUACGCGCCUGGGAGCCGGAUGCAUAGUGCCCACAUCGCCUUCCAGCGGCCAGGGACCGCCCGGGUAUUUGCUCAGUUGCCCCCCACGUGUGCCCGCCACCUUCUUUCCCGGCUUCCUUCUCGGAAUAGGUUCCCGCUGCCGCCGUAGUGCCGGGACCAACCCACCUCCUGGCGGGCGCACAUGGGGACCGGCUAAGCACGGUGCGGGGAUGCCAGGGUGGCUGUAGGGAGCGAGUCCCAUCACUGCGGCUGGCUGUCACCUCCCAAGCACCUCGAGGUAAAAGCACUUCUCUGAGUUUUUGUCUUUCCCUCCCUUUCUCCCCUCACCAUUUCCUUGGUCGAUGGAAUCCCAUUCACUAUCACCUGUAGCAGCAACUGCAAGAGUUUCAUCAGGUUCCAGACACUGUCUCCGAGCGGAGAAAAGCAUCCCCUCCCAACACACACACACACACACCCCGGAGCAAUUCCAGGGAGGAAGAACCGCAUUCCCUGAGACCAGAGACCUGCUUUCAGGGGAGGUAUCCCUGGCCGGCACUCCACAAAGGCCGGCCCUGGACUAUCCUAGGCCCAACUCUGCUUGCUUAUCUCUACAGCCUGUGUCCACACACCCUUCUGGGCAGUGCUUGAGACUACAUUCCACUCAAAAGUUUCUAACCACUUCACAAGACCGAGAGACCUUCCAGGGGCAUGCAGUUUCUUUUUAUCUUUUAGUACAUUUUUUUUUUUAGAGAACAUGAUUUGCUUUCCCAGAAAACACAUGGAUUCAGGAUAGAGUGGGGGCUACCACGGGAAAAGCCCAUCUGAGCCACACACUAACUUGCUCCACUAGCUUCAUGAAGCCCUCGGAUCCUGGGAUGUACCCACCCAUUCUGCCAAGAAUCCACGCAUCUGAAAACCAAAGCUAGACUCUUGCUUUUUUUUUCCCCUCAAGCCCUUCUUCAGCUAACAUUGCUCCAUGUAGCUAAGUAGAGGGAAUGCAAAUGAUUUAUAUUUCCCUGGCUAGGUUGAAGAAACUCAAGGGAGAUGUGUUCUGCUUCAAGACAGGAAAGAAAAAAAAUCCCCAAAACUGUAAUGCAAAGGCUUUGUAGUAUUUUUAAACCUUUGAUUCAGUCCAUAUGUGACAUCUGAACACCGCCAAAUUCUGUUACAAAACACACACACACACACACACACACACACACACACACACACACACACUCCUAGCAAGAGAGAAAAGUUGGGUUUAGCAGCCCUGGUGGUGUAAAGAGGGUCGGCUGAGUUCUCCCUUUAAAUUAUUGAGUAUUGAGGGAGCCUCCUCCUGAGCGGGUUUUGCGUGGCCUCUCUGCGUUAGCAGUCGCCUUUAAAGGAGGGGGAGAAACAUGUAAAAAAUAAUAGAAAAACUUUGAGGGGGCUUACCUGGUUGGCUUCUCACUUUGUGUCCUGAAAAGUACAGAGCUAAGAAAACCCAGGUAAGAGGGAACAUAUCCAUUUUUGAAAGAGAGGCUUUCUCCAGGGCUAGGCUUGUGGAAUCUCGUAUAAUUAUGUCUUUGUGUUUUUCCUCUCUCUAAUUUUCUUCCUUGUGGUGUCUUCUGUAAAGGUCUCUAAUGGCCAGCGUUUCCCUCCUGGGUCCUGGUGGCCCGUCUGUCUUCACCUUUAAUUCUUGCUGGAAUCCCCACCUCACUAGGAGAUAGCUUCUGGAAUCAGCAAAGAGGGAGCAAGCUGGGGUAAGCGGGGGACCGGUUUUCUCUUCAAACCCAAACGCGUGUAUGUUCUCUCCAGUUCCUCAAAGUGUCAUUUCCUUUAUCCUACAACAUCACGAGGGUUUCCCGAAAGCCAAGCGUAAAAUAAUAGUAAUGAUAAUAAUAAUCAAAGCCAAGACUUGCCCUGGGCAUUACACGGCCCCUAGGCAGCUGUGUGAUCUCAGAGGCGCAAACUGACACAGGUCCCCCACCGGCGGCACCCGGGACACACACGCGGGCAGAGACACCGACCGCUGGACAGGCGGAGUGGGAGGCAGCCAGCCUCCGGGCUCUUGUCCUCGCCGGGUUCCCUCAGCGGGAGCCUCCCCCGGCGGCUACACCCGCUUGGCCAGUCUCUCGAGGGGAGCGCGAGGCAGGAAGCGGCGGCUGCCGGGGCUGCUGCUGGUGCUGCUGCGGGUGCGGCGGCGGCGGCGGCGGCGGCGGCGGCUGGGAUCGCCCGCGAGUGUGCGAGCGGCUCUCCGAGUUCGCUGGCGCCCGCCCUCACCUCCACCUCGCCCAGCGGCCGGCCGAGUGUCUGCGCUUCUGAGGAUGUGCCGGGGGCGGGCUGCGGGCUGAUGCCUCGCUCGCCUCCUCUGCCUCCCCUCCGGCUCCCCCCUCGCCUUUUCAGGCCGAGCAGCAUGUGGAUGUCAGAGCCGCGGCAGAGCGAUCCGAUUACGCGCCGGCUCAGGGCCCGCCCCUUCUGUGUUCCUGAUUAAAGAGGCAGCGGCGGAGACGCGCGGCGCAGAGCCCAGGGCCGCGGCACCCAGCUCGGGCGGGGCGCUGGGGGCUCACCACCCCGCGGCCGCGCGAUCAAAGUUAAGGUGCCUCGCACCCCGCCGCCCCUCUGCCAGCCCCGCACCUCCCUCCCGCCCUGCGCACCUCGGUGCGGGGCUGCGGGUGUGUCACACCCCGAGGAUGGAGCGCCCUCCCUUCAGGGCGCGCUGCCCCUGCCGGGAGGAAAACUCCGCGGAGCUCGGGAAAUGCUUGUUCCCCCCCCCCCGCUAAAUUCCGAGACUCGGGUGCCACACACGCAGAAUCCGACACAAUGCCACCUGCAAUGGCGUUGCAGGAGGAGUUUGGGUGGCGGACUGUGUUUGGGGUAGGGAGACUGUCGGCGGCUCAGCCAUGUGUUCCCAGAGGCAGCGGUGCGUGGAGGCGACACACACCGUCAGCCCUAGCUGAGGGCAAACCCCAAAUACUCCUUGUGUUUACUACUCAGAUCCUUUUUUUGUGUCCCAAACAGGAUCCUCUGCUUUCUGGGUAAGGAUUUGCUUACCCCUGUACCCUUAACUUGUAGUUAUCUUAAGACGAAGAAUGUUUUCAUUCAAUCAAGAAUUUCUCCAGGCAUUUAAGUUGUUCCCCGGCCACCCAACACACCUUCAAGCUUCUGCGCAUAGCACAGGUACAUGAAGGCCUCUUGGAAGGCAACUGUAACUACUUCUCUGCUCAUGUUUCCCCAAGGAAAUGUGGUCACAGUGUUGACAGAAAGAAAAUAGCAUUAUGUUAACUAUUUUUAAGUGGAGGCAUGAAAACUGUCUAAAGGUGCGUAUACGCUAACAGUUGGGGGAACACUUGCGUCUUUGUUUCUGAGGGUGGCUUGGCGAUCCCCGUCAUGUUCACCAGGCAUCAUAGCUUUACCACGAUCAAGAUUCAAUAAAACACGCCUGGCUAACAUUGUGAUCCCGUUCCUAACAGCCUGCAGAUUAAGAAAUAGAAAGUUUGGGUGACAAGGAACACACAUCUGACAAUACCAUUUUCUCGCAGGCUUGAACUUGAGGUUUCUUCUGGGUGGUUUCUGUCCUUAUCUGGACUUGCCAUUAGCUUUGUUGAUCACAUUCAGUGUUUGAAAAAUCUGUAACUCUCACUUAACUGUUGUUUACACGGAAAUAAACCCAAACAAAACUGAAUCA